RNAcentral lists this transfer RNA (66 nucleotides) under Arion vulgaris. Its description in RNAcentral is "tRNA-His". Lineage: Eukaryota; Metazoa; Mollusca; Gastropoda; Stylommatophora; Arionidae. The record is from RNAcentral.
GCUUAAAUAGGUUAAGUUAAUAAAACCGUAGCAUUGUGAUCGCUAAAAUUAUAAUAUAUUUGGGCU